Molecule: small nuclear RNA, 283 nt
Filed under: Calidris pygmaea (Spoon-billed sandpiper)
Lineage: Eukaryota; Metazoa; Chordata; Aves; Charadriiformes; Scolopacidae
Description: 7SK RNA (ENSCPGG00000008919.1)
Rfam family: 7SK RNA
About the family: 7SK was discovered as an abundant small nuclear RNA in the mid-70s but a possible function has only recently been suggested. Two independent studies have found that 7SK RNA binds the CDK9/cyclin T complex (known as elongation factor P-TEFb).
Source: Rfam by way of RNAcentral
GAAUGUGAGGGCGAUCUGGCUGCAACAUCUGUCACCCCACUGAUCGCCAGUGUUGAUUCAGCUAUCUGGCUGGCUAGGAGGGUGUCCCCUUCUUCCCUCACAGCUCCAUGUGCAUCCCUCCCGAAGAUGUGCGUUUGGUCAAAGAGGACGACCUUCCCCGAUAGAGACGUACCGUUCAUCGGUCAAGGGUACAGGGUAGCUGCACUUCCCUGCUUAACAUGAGCCAGCAGUGUGCCCAGGUGGCCAAGAAGGCCAACAGCAUCCUGGCCUGUAUCAGGAAUAG